GACGAAGGAUGCAAGCGUUAUCCGGAUUCAUUGGGUUUAAAGGGAGCGUAGGUGGCCUUAUAAGUCAGUGGUGAAAUACUUCGGAGCUUAAACCUCGGAAAUUGCCAUUGAUACUGUAGGGCUUGAGUAUAGUUCCGGUUGGCGGAAUAUGACAUGUAGUGGUGAAAUACAUAGAGAUGUCAUAGAACACCGAUUGCGAAGGCAGCUGACGAAACUAUAACUGACACUGAGGCUCGAAAGUGCGGGGAUCAAACGG
This 256-nucleotide ribosomal RNA is filed under the name uncultured bacterium. RNAcentral describes it as "partial 16S ribosomal RNA". It matches the Rfam family "Bacterial small subunit ribosomal RNA", at positions 524 to 775 of the family's 1533-position model. The record is from RNAcentral.